AUACGAGGGGUGCAAGCGUUAUUCGGAAUUACUGGGCGUAAAGAGUGUGUAGACGGCUUAUUAAGUCUGUUGUUAAAUCUUUCGGCUUAACCGAGAGUCCGCAAUGGAAACUAAUAGGCUAGAGGGCGAUAGAGAGAAGUGGAAUUUCCGGAGUAGCGGUAAAAUGCGUAGAUCUCGGAAGGAACACCAAUGGCGAAGGCAGCUUCUUGGGUCGCUUCUGACGUUGAGACACGAAAGCGUGGGUAGC
RNAcentral lists this ribosomal RNA (247 nucleotides) under uncultured bacterium. RNAcentral's name for it is "partial 16S ribosomal RNA". It matches the Rfam family "Bacterial small subunit ribosomal RNA", at positions 523 to 769 of the family's 1533-position model. The record is from RNAcentral.